This 825-nucleotide ribosomal RNA is filed under the name uncultured Orbus sp. Its description in RNAcentral is "bacterial SSU rRNA". It matches the Rfam family "Bacterial small subunit ribosomal RNA", at positions 592 to 1416 of the family's 1533-position model. The record is from RNAcentral. Lineage: Bacteria; Pseudomonadati; Pseudomonadota; Gammaproteobacteria; Orbales; Orbaceae.
AUGUGAAAGCCCCGGGCUCAACCUGGGAAUUGCAUUUAAAACUGGUUAACUAGAGUACUGUAGAGGGAGGUAGAAUUCCACGUGUAGCGGUGAAAUGCGUAGAGAUGUGGAGGAAUACCGGUGGCGAAGGCGGCCUUCUGGACAGAUACUGACGCUGAGAUGCGAAAGCGUGGGGAGCAAACAGGAUUAGAUACCCUGGUAGUCCACGCUGUAAACGAUGUCGAUUUGGAGUUUGCUACCUAGAGUGGUGGGCUCCGAAGCUAACGCGAUAAAUCGACCGCCUGGGGAGUACGGCCGCAAGGUUAAAACUCAAAUGAAUUGACGGGGGCCCGCACAAGCGGUGGAGCAUGUGGUUUAAUUCGAUGCAACGCGAAGAACCUUACCUGGUCUUGACAUCCAUAGAAUCUUUUAGAGAUAAGAGAGUGCCUUCGGGAGCUAUGAGACAGGUGCUGCAUGGCUGUCGUCAGCUCGUGUUGUGAAAUGUUGGGUUAAGUCCCGCAACGAGCGCAACCCUUAUCCUUUGUUGCCAGCACGUAAUGGUGGGAACUCAAAGGAGACUGCCGUUGAUAAAGCGGAGGAAGGUGGGGACGACGUCAAGUCAUCAUGGCCCUUACGACCAGGGCUACACACGUGCUACAAUGGCGUAUACAAAGGGAAGCGAAGGUGCGAACUGGAGCGGACCUCCUAAAGUACGUCUAAGUCCGGAUUGGAGUCUGCAACUCGACUCCAUGAAGUCGGAAUCGCUAGUAAUCGUAGAUCAGAAUGCUACGGUGAAUACGUUCCCGGGCCUUGUACACACCGCCCGUCACACCAUGGGAGUGGGUU